Molecule: ribosomal RNA, 2668 nt
Filed under: Salmonella enterica subsp. enterica serovar Paratyphi A
Lineage: Bacteria; Pseudomonadati; Pseudomonadota; Gammaproteobacteria; Enterobacterales; Enterobacteriaceae
Description: partial 23S ribosomal RNA
Rfam family: Bacterial large subunit ribosomal RNA
Source: RNAcentral
GGGUUGUGAGGUUAAGCGACUAAGCGUACACGGUGGAUGCCCUGGCAGUCAGAGGCGAUGAAGGACGUGCUAAUCUGCGAUAAGCGCCGGUAAGGUGAUAUGAACCGUUAUAACCGGCGAUUUCCGAAUGGGGAAACCCAGUGUGAUUCGUCACACUAUCAUUAACUGAAUCCAUAGGUUAAUGAGGCGAACCGGAGGAACUGAAACAUCUAAGUACCCCGAGGAAAAGAAAUCAACCGAGAUUCCCCCAGUAGCGGCGAGCGAACGGGGAGGAGCCCAGAGCCUGAAUCAGCAUGUGUGUUAGUGGAAGCGUCUGGAAAGGCGCGCGAUACAGGGUGACAGCCCCGUACACAAAAGCGCAUGUGCUGUGAGCUCGAUGAGUAGGGCGGGACACGUGGUAUCCUGUCUGAAUAUGGGGGGACCAUCCUCCAAGGCUAAAUACUCCUGACUGACCGAUAGUGAACCAGUACCGUGAGGGAAAGGCGAAAAGAACCCCGGCGAGGGGAGUGAAAAAGAACCUGAAACCGUGUACGUACAAGCAGUGGGAGCACAGGUUUACCUGUGUGACUGCGUACCUUUUGUAUAAUGGGUCAGCGACUUAUAUUCUGUAGCAAGGUUAACCGUAUAGGGGAGCCGGAGGGAAACCGAGUCUUAACCGGGCGUUAAGUUGCAGGGUAUAGACCCGAAACCCGGUGAUCUAGCCAUGGGCAGGUUGAAGGUUGGGUAACACUAACUGGAGGACCGAACCGACUAAUGUUGAAAAAUUAGCGGAUGACCUGUGGCUGGGGGUGAAAGGCCAAUCAAACCGGGAGAUAGCUGGUUCUCCCCGAAAGCUAUUUAGGUAGCGCCUCGUGAAUUCAUCUCCGGGGGUAGAGCACUGUUUCGGCUAGGGGGCCAUCCCGGCUUACCAACCCGAUGCAAACUGCGAAUACCGGAGAAUGUUAUCACGGGAGACACACGGCGGGUGCUAACGUCCGUCGUGAAGAGGGAAACAACCCAGACCGCCAGCUAAGGUCCCAAAGUCAUGGUUAAGUGGGAAACGAUGUGGGAAGGCCCAGACAGCCAGGAUGUUGGCUUAGAAGCAGCCAUCAUUUAAAGAAAGCGUAAUAGCUCACUGGUCGAGUCGGCCUGCGCGGAAGAUGUAACGGGGCUAAACCAUGCACCGAAGCUGCGGCAGCGACACUCAGGUGUUGUUGGGUAGGGGAGCGUUCUGUAAGCCUGUGAAGGUGGCCUGUGAGGGUUGCUGGAGGUAUCAGAAGUGCGAAUGCUGACAUAAGUAACGAUAAAGCGGGUGAAAAGCCCGCUCGCCGGAAGACCAAGGGUUCCUGUCCAACGUUAAUCGGGGCAGGGUGAGUCGACCCCUAAGGCGAGGCCGAAAGGCGUAGUCGAUGGGAAACGGGUUAAUAUUCCCGUACUUGGUGUUACUGCGAAGGGGGGGACGGAGAAGGCUAUGUUGGCCGGGCGACGGUUGUCCCGGUUUAAGCGUGUAGGUGUGUGUUCCAGGUAAAUCCGGUUCACUUUAACACUGAGGCGUGACGACGAGGCACUACGGUGCUGAAGCAACAAAUGCCCUGCUUCCAGGAAAAGCCUCUAAGCAUCAGGUAACAUCAAAUCGUACCCCAAACCGACACAGGUGGUCAGGUAGAGAAUACCAAGGCGCUUGAGAGAACUCGGGUGAAGGAACUAGGCAAAAUGGUGCCGUAACUUCGGGAGAAGGCACGCUGACACGUAGGUGAAGUGAUUUACUCAUGGAGCUGAAGUCAGUCGAAGAUACCAGCUGGCUGCAACUGUUUAUUAAAAACACAGCACUGUGCAAACACGAAAGUGGACGUAUACGGUGUGACGCCUGCCCGGUGCCGGAAGGUUAAUUGAUGGGGUCAGCGCAAGCGAAGCUCCUGAUCGAAGCCCCGGUAAACGGCGGCCGUAACUAUAACGGUCCUAAGGUAGCGAAAUUCCUUGUCGGGUAAGUUCCGACCUGCACGAAUGGCGUAAUGAUGGCCAGGCUGUCUCCACCCGAGACUCAGUGAAAUUGAACUCGCUGUGAAGAUGCAGUGUACCCGCGGCAAGACGGAAAGACCCCGUGAACCUUUACUAUAGCUUGACACUGAACAUUGAGCCUUGAUGUGUAGGAUAGGUGGGAGGCUUUGAAGUGUGGACGCCAGUCUGCAUGGAGCCGACCUUGAAAUACCACCCUUUAAUGUUUGAUGUUCUAACGUGGACCCGUUACCCGGGUUGCGGACAGUGUCUGGUGGGUAGUUUGACUGGGGCGGUCUCCUCCUAAAGAGUAACGGAGGAGCACGAAGGUUGGCUAAUCCUGGUCGGACAUCAGGAGGUUAGUGCAAUGGCAUAAGCCAGCUUGACUGCGAGCGUGACGGCGCGAGCAGGUGCGAAAGCAGGUCAUAGUGAUCCGGUGGUUCUGAAUGGAAGGGCCAUCGCUCAACGGAUAAAAGGUACUCCGGGGAUAACAGGCUGAUACCGCCCAAGAGUUCAUAUCGACGGCGGUGUUUGGCACCUCGAUGUCGGCUCAUCACAUCCUGGGGCUGAAGUAGGUCCCAAGGGUAUGGCUGUUCGCCAUUUAAAGUGGUACGCGAGCUGGGUUUAGAACGUCGUGAGACAGUUCGGUCCCUAUCUGCCGUGGGCGCUGGAGAACUGAGGGGGGCUGCUCCUA